RNAcentral lists this long non-coding RNA (894 nucleotides) under Heterocephalus glaber (naked mole-rat). RNAcentral describes it as "lncRNA (ENSHGLG00100036336.1)". The record is from RNAcentral. Lineage: Eukaryota; Metazoa; Chordata; Mammalia; Rodentia; Bathyergidae.
GUCCGGGCGAGGAGCGCGGCGGCCAGGCCCGCGCGGGACGUCGCCCCCGGUGGAGCGGGGCCGCGCGUGGGUCCCCUGUCGCCCGCCCCUCGGACCCGGGCUGGGGGACGCGGUUCGGGAGAGCGAGGCAGCGCGGGGAGGACAGCCGCCGGGGGCCGGGUGAGGACAGGUGGAGCACGGAGGCGACCGAGCAGCAGGGCGGGGUGGCCAAGCCGCACGCGGCUGUGGCGCGGAGCGGGCUCGACGCGGUGGCUGAGUGGGUCACCCGCGGUGUCCCUCCGGGACCGGCGGGGACCUGAGGAGGGGCGGCCCGGGGAGGGGGCACGCAGGGCCGCGCAGCGGGGCCUCGGUGAGCUGCGGGAGGGCGCGCGCGCGCGCGCGCGCUCGGGUUCCGCCGGCAUCUGGCGCGGGAUCGGGGCCUCCGCGCACCCGCCGCGCGCUCCCCACGCACACACGCCCUUCCUGCCGCGCCGCUGCCACCAUCGAGCAGGCGAACCCCGCGGAGCGGAACCGGGCGGAGCGGACCGGAGAGGCUCCAGAGAUGCGGGACCUGAGCGGGGGCGCGCGCAGACGGCGCGCCCGGGACGCUUCCUGCACCCCCAGGCCCUAAGGUGACUCCGGCCCAGCUGCACUCAGUCAACCCCUAGCUGGAGUAUCCAGUACCUCUCCAUCUGCUUGGAGAAGGAAGAGAUGGGCAGCAGUUCUCACACAGGGACAGAGUCUCACUUUCCCCUCUGGCUGGAGCUGGAGAUUAGGCCAUGUGAGCAGAGCCUGGCCCUCCUCCAGGAAUCCUUCUAUGGCUGCUGGACGUGCUCGUUCCACCUCUGUCUGCCAUGGGAUCCAUCCCAUGCUCCUUCCAGGGCUCGAUCCUCCACCAUCACCCCCACCAUGGCC